Molecule: non-coding RNA, 85 nt
Filed under: Heterosigma akashiwo
Lineage: Eukaryota; Raphidophyceae; Chattonellales; Chattonellaceae
Source: RNAcentral
UUCCAUAAAGUCUGGGGGCACAUCAAUGCUGAACUGCCUCAAAAGAAGUUCCCAUUCGGACCAGUACCUUUUAGAGCCGGUGACC